RNAcentral lists this ribosomal RNA (426 nucleotides) under uncultured cyanobacterium. RNAcentral describes it as "bacterial SSU rRNA". It matches the Rfam family "Bacterial small subunit ribosomal RNA", at positions 1074 to 1502 of the family's 1533-position model. The record is from RNAcentral. Lineage: Bacteria; Bacillati; Cyanobacteriota.
UUGGGUUAGUCCGCAACGAGCGCCACCCACGUUUUUAGUUGCCAGCAUUGAGUUGGGCACUCUAGAGAGACUGCCGGUGACAAACCGGAGGAAGGUGUGGAUGACGUCAAGUCAGCAUGCCCCUUACGUUCUGGGCUACACACGUACUACAAUGCUUCGGACAAAGGGCAGCGAGCGCGCGAGUGCAAGCCAAUCCCAUAAACCGAGGCUCAGUUCAGAUUGCAGGCUGCAACUCGCCUGCAUGAAGGCGGAAUCGCUAGUAAUCGCAGGUCAGCAUACUGCGGUGAAUACGUUCCCGGGCCUUGUACACACCGCCCGUCACACCAUGGGAGUUGGCCACGCCCGAAGUCGUUACUCCAACCGNUCGCGGAGGAGGAUGCCGAAGGCAGGGCUGAUGACUGGGGUGAAGUCGUAACAAGGUAACCA